CCCCCCGCCGAUGACCCAAUGCCCCUCCAGUAGAUCUGCUCUGGCGCCGACUCUGUAUAGGAUUCAGUGAUCAAGAUGCUGACAAAAUCCUCUACCUGAGAUCCAUUACUCGAACUAAGAACUGGAUGGGCAUUUCUUUGGGCUCUUGAGCUGCACGUGUUAAUUUUUCUGAUGCAAUACCCGUCACGUCUGCAGGGUGGUGCUCCAGGUCAACUUUUUGCUGACUCUCGUUAAUUGUUUCACGUUCUGCACAGGAUGCACUAUCGAUUUCCUCUUCGUCACCAUUUCUCAAGCUGUCAAUUUUCUCCUUUGUAUCUAACAACACAGAUAACCCCUCAUCUUCAAGUGAAACAACAUCUUCUCCAAAAACUGCAAAAUGCAUCUUCUCAGCGCACGAGGCGUGUGCGUUUCACCCUCCCCCACAUCUAACUAAUGCUUAACUGAGUUGGUCAGUUAGUGACGCAAACUAAACGCUCAUUAUCCUAGCCGUGAAGGCGGGGCGGAUAAGUGGUGUGGGUGAACACAGGAAAAACUAUGAAUAAUGUUGCUGAAGAGUGUUACCUACAAGGUCAUUCUGUGACUUGGGCUAUUUGGUUCAUCAACAUAAUUACCAAGAAUUUUACUGAUGUUCAGACAGGUUCAGUCUCUGAUAGGAAGAAGAAAAACAAAGCACAUAAAUGCAGAGAGAUUAGGAUAGAGAAGGAGGGUUUCCUUGUUCGUCUGUGAACUGUCUCCACACUAAGGUCUAUGGCAUGGCCCAUAGGUAGGGGGCGCUAUGGAGUCAUAGUAAAGUAAAGUCAGUUAAAUCAUUAAAUGAAUAACUGAAAUACAAAAAUUAGGCAAUUGAGAGUUAAUCCUAAACACUUUAAAGAGUGCAAUCUGAUUGUUUUGAUCAAAGCUCAAAUUCAACUAAAUUGAUUUAAUUAAAAUUGAAGUAUCAUCAAAUACAAUUCUAACUGCAAGGGAGAAAAUGUAAGAAACCCUGAGAAGUAAUUAAAAUUAAAUAAAAAUUAAAUCAUCAAAACAAUAAUGGAAUAAUAUUAAUUAUCAUUAUAGUUUGUAUAAUAACAAAUAAUAAAUAUUCUCAAAUAAAGUAAACGGUGAAAUAGCAGAAUAAUGAAAUCAUAAAAUCAAACAAAAGGAGAGACUGCCUGAGACUUCACACUAGAUAGCGUUGCCCGAGCAAAGGGGGGAGUCGGGCAGAGAUGAGACAGGAGAAGUGUUAGACACUUUAAGACAAACUGACCUCUAGUGUUAGUAGACGGUAAUAUGUCUUAUGCCAGACUUCCUGUUCCACAUUCUAUGUGGAAUCACACUUACAUUAACGCGCAUUUGCUAUGGCGACAAGUGUAAUUUGAUCGCAGUUCUAAUGGCUCGUGUCAGUUUACCUGAACACGGGUACAUGGCUUUUCAACGUACACACACAAUAGACACACAAUACUACACUAUAACUGACUAACGGAAUUUCUUCGCCGUCCUGAAAGUUAUUUGUGUAACUUGGUCGAGAUUCUUUGCCGACCGUAACAUAAAAACAAACAAAACACUUGAUCAAGAUUUUUAUGACACUCCCCUUUAAACGGUCGUCAUUUACUGUUUAACUACACAAUAUACAGUAAAGUACAUAUACAGUACACAGUAUCCUUUCGCCUCGUCUACUCAGGAGAAAACGAGAAAGCAUGCAUUAGUUAGCUAGUCUAAUGGUUACACUUCGGGAAGCGGUGUGUCUUAGAUGAAACAUUGGAACACACAGUGCUUCAAUCUAAUUUAAACAUAAUUCGGCCGUACACGAAUUAGGGAGGAAAACUCGCUCCACUAUUUCCUUCGCGCUAACAAGAGGAUUUCUUAGCUCAGAUUAGGGCAGUCACACGAUAUCGGGACUCUCUAUAAAAUAUUUCUUCGUUUUAUAGGGUCACAUUAAAUUGCAGUUAACUUAACCAUCAUUAACAGUACCUUGGGUUUUUCCUAAAUAGGUCACAGAGGCUUGUUUCGGUGCAGUAACUAAAGGGAGCGAGUCUCGCUCUACCUUCUUCACACUAAAAGAGGAUUUCUUUGCUCAAUUUAGAGCGGUAAAAUAAAUAGUAUAGUACGCUAUAAAGAGAUUUCUUCAUCUUUAUAUUGUCACUAAAUCUUUGACAGAGGCUGAGGUUUUCUCUGCGAGAAGCUCAAAAGUCUGCCAAGGAUAGGUGGGUGGGUCCACACCUUCAUUCAUACAUAAAGUGCCAUUUAAGAGAGUAUUCAGUUUCGAUAAACACCCAUAGAAACACACAUGAAUAGUCACUGAGUUCUGCUCACAAAACAAGGUUUAAAACUGCGCCCGCAUUCCCUCCACCAAUUAUGUAGUGGUUUUAGCUAACGUUAUUAUAUUGAUGAGCAAAGCUCACCAAAUAUGGUUCUCCACCAGAUCUUUCAAGAUCAUAUCCAUGAAAUGAGUUAUUUAAAACAGCAAUUUCAGUCAAGGAAUUAGUUUAGUUUAGUUUAGUGAUCAAAUAUACAUAUUUUACGAUCUCUGAUUAGUAAUAUAAAGCAUAACAAUACUUGUAUGCAUUCGUCCAGCAAAUGCCUCAAUGACAUUAUAUACUUUACAUUAUCUCAUGGCCAUAAGUAACAUGACUUUACCAAACAGGAUUUAGAGCAAAGGUAGCGUAAAUCAAAACACAGUAAAAGGGACCAAGUCUGUGAGCGUGAAUACAGAAAACCCAUCACACAUGAAUAUAUAUGGUUGUUUAUUAAACUCUACUCUACAUGAUAACAAAAACAAUGACGAUCGCAUAAAACAAAUAAAUACAUGAAACACAAAUGCGCUUGGAAGCGCGGAGAGGGAGAAAGAGUGAGAAGAGAGAGAGAGAGAGAAAGAGAGAGAGAGAGAGAGGGCAUGGCAGCGAUUUCUGAACACCAAUAAAAAUCAUCUUUAACAAAGAGGCACAUACUUAACGCAGCUAUUCUAUAAAUAGAAACGGAUACUUGCAAGCUCUGUGCUGGACGAUAUCCGUAUGCGUGUGUAGAGAUGGAAUUGUUCAAAAGGUUUCAGAAAGAAAGUCCUGCCGAUGGCUUAACCACGUGGCAGUAGAAGUCCAUUGUUCCAUCCCUUUUCCCAGGGGGGGAGGGCAGUCUCCGAAGAGACCGGAGGAAGGGACGAAGCCGGAAGAGAAGAGAGGACGACAAGACAAGAGAAGGUUUUCAGAGCAGGCUCGAUAUUUAACCUCAUGAGAGGGCAUGCCCACCUGAGUUUGAAUCGAUCAAUCAGAGUUGAGCAGGGAAGAGGUUCUUUGUCCACUCAACAGCUAAUUUGCAUCUUUAUGACCUCCUGGUCACACAAUGUAUAUAUACAAGGAGGAAUUGUAAAGACAAACAUUUAGAUAUCAAAAAUGGACAGGUUUGAAUUGCAACAAGUCAUGAUUCAUUCAGAUGGAUCCCAUACAAACAAAGCCUGAAAUAAACGUGUAUAUCUAACUGUGACAGACUAUUUAAAAUGGCACAAGCGCCAACACACAACCUACAGUAGAUAGUUAGAUAUAUGUAUAGAAAAGGACAGUUUAAUCACAUAAGUUCCUAUUUGUCAGGGACAUUUCUCUGGUUAACCUCAGAUGUUAAGUUAGAGAUGAGACAGAGACUUCUCACCAAUGGUUUGAAGCAUAGCUGUCGUAAAUAUCCAACAGAGAGACAAACCGUUAUCAAAACUCUAAAACCAGACCCCUGGAGCCAGGUUUUUGCUAUGGUCUUUUGAUGAUGAUGGCAAAAGAAACCAGGACAAAAGGGAGUGGGAGUUGAUGGCUCUUCUUUCAAUGACUCCGACCAUUUGGCUUAUGCUAGAUUCUCUACACCCUUUAUUACCCGAACUAAUAUUUUGUUCCCUUAUACCUACACGUAGGCAGAGGUGGGUAGAGUAGCCAAAAUCUUUACUCAAGUAAAAGUACAAGUAACUAGAGAAAUUGUUACUCAAGUAAAAGUAAAAGUCACUAUUUUAAAAAUUACUUGAGUAAAAGUAAAAAAGUAUGCAAUGAAAAAACUACUCAAGUAGCUAGUUACUUAGUUACUUUGUAUCUGAUUAUAUAGGCCUACUACAUUAAAUUAAUAUUAACACCAAUAUUUUAAUAUUACAUUUUAAUCAAUAUUUUUAAUUAUCAUAAGCAGAUAUCUUUGCAAUAUACUAGAGAGACUAAAGAAUAGACAAACACAGAAGAGACAAGCAUUUCUGUAAAUUUCACCUAGUCCUGAUGUCAGUGUAGUUUACACAACUUAUUUAGAAUAAUAGACCAUGUCAAACUAAAGCAUGAACUAAACUCAGAGCAUUUCCUAAGAUGAUCUAGAACAUCUGCAGUGCUCUCUUAAAUGAAAUACACAUUUUUGAACAAAGUUCAUGUUUUCUCGUGUUGUGUCACGUGUGUGUUGUGAAACGCACAAACAGUAAACAGUGAACCACACGCCCAUCAACAAGUUUUCUUCCUUCUGUUCUUCAAAUGUAUAUUUCUGCAAGCCCACGUCUCUGUGACUGACAGGUAACGCGCAUGUUGCGGUGUCUGACGAACAGGUCGCGCGGGUGCGCGCAUAUGGCCGGCAUUUAUCAUUGCUGGCAAACAAUAUGACACAUUUGCAGUUUUGAUUGUAUAGAUAUAGAUUAAUAUCCACUUCAUCCAACGCUCUUUGUGUUCUGCGUGUUCUUAAGUUUCGCGCUACGAGGAGUGAGUAAUCUGCUUCAGAUGAUUCAGAUCGUGCUGCGUACUGAACAAAUCAUUUGAACUGAUUCAUUAGCCUAUUCAAAUGGUUUUGCCCAUUGUUCAAUUAAAGCUUUCAAAGGAAUCGACUCAAAAGAAUCGAUCACUCGGGAAUGCCCGUAAAAAGAGACGACAACCUUGAAAUAAACAACGCGUUUUAAAAAGCAUAUUUUAAAAUGAAGGAACGAAGGAACGUCACGCAAUGUAAGUUAUGUAACGAAGUAAAAGUACAGAUUUUCUAUUAGAAAUUUACUCAAGUAAGAGUAAAAGUACACACUUUUAAUUUGACUUAAAAAGUACAUAUUUUCCAAAAUGUUACUCAAGUAAAUGUAACGAAGUAAAUGUAGCGCGUUACUACCCACCUCUGCACGUAGGUACACUAUAGUUACCAAAACUUACACCGUAAAUUCAGUUUACUUAUGCGGUUCUUUGCGGGUCGUAAUCUAAAGCGUUACCAAUUUUUCUACAGUGGCAAUGCCUUUGACUAAUUUGUUGCGUGGGGGCGUGGAUUUCUGUUGGACCCCGUUGUGUCAACAAGCACUUGAAAAUGUAAAAAUGCUGCUUACGGAGGCUCCGGUUUUAGCAGCUGCAAAAUUUGUCCAGCCUUUUCAUUUACAGGUGGAUGCUAGUAAUGUGGGUGCUGGCGCUGUCUUGUUGCAGAAGUCUGAAAAUGGGAUUGAUCAUCCAGUUGUUUUUUUCUCUAGAAAAUGUAAUUUUUUACAUCUUGCUUAUUACCUAUAAAGCCCUACAUGGUUUGGCUCUUCAGUACUUGAGUGAACUCCUCUUGUAUUACAGUCCUUCACGUGCAUUAUGCUCUCAGGCAUCCUGUCAGUUGGUAAUACCUAGAAUUUCAAAAUCAAGUGCAGGUGGUAGAUCCUUUUCCUAUCUAGCGCCUAAACUUUGGAAUAGUCUUCCCCGCACUGGCUGGGAGGCAGACACACUCUGUCAGUUUAAAUCUAGACUAAAGACGCAUCUUUUUAAUCUUGCAUACACUACACUUCCAUAAUAUAAAAGAGGGUUUAGGGUGCAUUAGUUAGAUAAACCAGAACCAGGAACACAACUGAUGUACUUGUUGCAUCAAAGAGUGCAUAACAGUACUCUACACUCAGCCAGUCUUGUCUUAUUGUUCCAAGGUUACCACAGCGAGCAGGAUGCAGUUCAUGCCCAGACCUGAUGGUAGAGCGACGAAUGGGAAGCGGCGACCUGACAAGAACUGAGAUUAUAGAGCUGGAUAAAGAAGGACGCGGCUACUUGACACUUCUUUACUACAAAAUUUCAACUGCUAUUAGAUUAUUAAUGAUAAUCUUAAAUGUAUUAUUUACCUUAUUAGUAAAUUUAUUUAUUUUUAUUUAGCCUUGUUGUGCAAGCACUGUCGAGCUUGUGCAGAGGCAGCUGCUUUUGCCAGAGGGGAACUGGAAUCCCCUGGUUGGGCCUGGGUUCUCCUGAGGAGUUUUGGGUUCCUCACCACUGUUUACAUACUGUUUUGCACUGUUUGCCUGGCCUGGGGGGCUGCUUUAGAAUUAGAAUUUUAAAGUUUUACUCAACAUUAAUAUUGCAUAUAGGAAUUUAUAGUCCGUUUAAUAUUUGACCUGUGUUUCUCUCUCCUUUAUCUUAAAUGUGUUUUUCUCAGUGAUAACCACUGUGUGUGUGUGUUCAUGUUUGUAUAUCCCGGUGGGGACCUAAACCCGAAUACACACCAACACAUGGGGACUCGUGUCACCGUGGGGACCAAAAUUGAGGUCCCCAGGGGCAAAAAAGCUAAUAAAUUGUACAGAACAAUAUUUUUUACAAAUCUAAAAAUGCAAAAAGUGUUCUAUGAUCUUUAGGUUUAGGGAUAGGGAUAGGGGAUAGAAUAUACAGUUUGUACAGUAUAAAAACAUUACGCCUAUGGACUGUCCCCACAGGGAUAGUCAACCAAAGCGUGUGUGUGUGUGUGUGUGUGCGCGUCUGCGCGUCCAUGUGUUUGCGCGUUUGUGUGUAUAUUGUGUGUGUGGAGUGUUCUGUGUGUGGGGUAUUUGAAUUGGUGUGUGUGUGUGUGUGUUUUGUCUGUGUUUUCACCUUUUUUGUUUUUACUUUUAUAACGUUAAAUGUUUUGCUUAUAGUCAAUAUGUUUCAUGUACAGCUGCUUUGUAACAAGAGUCAUCACAACUUCUCCAUUCAACUGGGCUCAUCAACCAUCACAUCUUCCAGAACGGCCAGAAACCUGGGAGUGGUGAUCGACGAUCAGCUUAACUUCACAGAUCAGGUUGCCAGCACCACCUGGUCCUGUAGAUUCAUCCUCUACAAUAUUAGGAAAAUUAGACCUUUCCUAUCCAAGCAUGCUACGCAAGUCCUAGUCCAGGCUCUUGUUCUGUCCAGACUGGACUACUGCAAUGCUCUAUUGGCUGGACUUCCAGCUUGCACAACCAAACCUCUACAGAUGAUCCAGAAUGCGGCGGCAAGAGUGGUCUUCAAUGAACCGAAGAGAGCGCACAUCACUCCUCUCUUCACUAAGUUACAUUGGCUCCCUAUAGUCACUCGAAUCAAAUUCAAGACUCCGCUCCUGGCCUACAAGACCACCACUGAUUUGGCACCCCCUUACCUUCACUCGCUAAUGCAGACUUAUGUACCCGCCAGAUCCCUAUGCUCUGCAAACGAACAACGUCUUGUGGUGCCAUCCCAAAAAGGUAAAAAAUCUCUCACGUACCUUCUCGGGAUCGGUUCCACAUUUAUGGAAUGAUCUGCCCGCUGCUACAAGAUCAGCAGUUACUGUAUCCAUCUUUAAGAACUGUCUGAAAACACAUCUCUUCCAUCAACACCUGACUGAUCAGUUCUGACUGCUAUCUCUUUUCUACUCUUUAAAAAAGAAAAAAAACUUAGCUCUGUAUACUGUGGUAAGCUAUAUGAGACCAAUUUUCUUUUAUUGCACUUAUGCUUUUUGUUGUCCUUAUGUUGUUCCAAUUGCUUCCAUUGUUUCCCUCAUCUGUAAGUCGCUUUGGAUAAAAGCGUCUGCUAAACGACUAAAUGUAAAUGUUACAAUUAAAAUUGUAAAAAGCGUUAUAUAAAUCAAGUUGACUCAUAACUCACAAUGUUGAAUGUUAUUUUUAAAGUAUAUUUUCCACUUGGAAAAUAAUGGAAGACAGCUAAAUGCAGCAUACAAAGUCUACUUUGCCCUUUUUAUACAGAAAAACAUAACAGAACACACUGAAUCUGCAGUUAGGUCAACAUUCUAAGCCCUACUUGGUGGUGUAGAUAUUUUUGGGUUCUCCAAUGGAUUCUUCUUGGUACCUAAUGAAAGAUUUUUUAACUAAUACAAUAUGCACACAAGGUACAACUUGAUCAAUAUGAGUAGUAUAUAUGCAGGUCAUAGUGUCAAAAUGAUUGAUGGUGACCUUUGACCUUUGCGGGGGGGGUUGAAUUACUUCCGGACCACCCACGUAGUGAGGGACCGCCCACAUCGCGUUGACCUUUUGACUGUAUCCGCCCACAUCGCGUUGACCUUUUGACCGUAUCCGCCCCCCGUAGUGAGGGACCGCCCACGUCGCGUUGAACUUUUGACCGUGCCCUCACAUCCCAUUUUUCCGGGGCAUGUUUUAGGAUGUAUUGCUACAUAUCUUUAGCAUGAAUGAAAAUAUGUAAUUUAAAGGAGAUGAUGAGAUCAUUAUUAAUAUGCAAUCAUUGGUUAUUUAAACAGCGUUUAAAAAUAAUAAUGAAUAAGACAACAACUACACAAACACUGUUUGAAUAAACAAACAGGUUUAAAUGAAUAAUCGUGUGAAUAAAUAAAUAAAGCAUCUAUUAAAUAAGUAAAGAAGUAAAUACGUAAUUAUACAAUGUAUUCAAUAUAUGAGAGAGGAAAGGCAGAGAGGCCAUGCAGAUUACCUUAUGUUUUUCAGCGUUUUCACCCAGUCUAUAACAUUCCAGUGAGAGGUGUCCGCACCAAGGCUCGUAAAUUUGUUUUGAAAGAGGAGG
Long non-coding RNA from Triplophysa rosa, 8663 nucleotides. RefSeq lists it as uncharacterized. The transcript has 3 exons. The record is from RefSeq and is a predicted model, not a curated record. NCBI's taxonomy places the organism in Eukaryota, Metazoa, Chordata, Actinopteri, Cypriniformes, Nemacheilidae.